UACGUAGGGUGCGAGCGUUGUCCGGAAUUAUUGGGCGUAAAGGGCUCGUAGGCGGCCUGUUGCGUCUGCCGUGAAAGCCCGGGGCUUAACUCCGGGUCUGCGGUGGAUACGGGCAGGCUAGAGUUCGGUAGGGGAGACUGGAAUUCCUGGUGUAGCGGUGAAAUGCGCAGAUAUCAGGAGGAACACCGGUGGCGAAGGCGGGUCUCUGGGCCGACACUGACGCUGAGGAGCGAAAGCGUGGGGAGCGAACAGGAUUAGAUACCCCGGUAGUCCCUGAG
This 278-nucleotide ribosomal RNA is filed under the name uncultured prokaryote. Its description in RNAcentral is "partial 16S ribosomal RNA". It matches the Rfam family "Bacterial small subunit ribosomal RNA", at positions 524 to 801 of the family's 1533-position model. The record is from RNAcentral.